GGCUCAUGGCAGCCUGAACACACUGGAUCUGGCAGGAACUGGGAAGCUAAGCAGGGUCAGCCAAGGUUAGUACUUGGAUGGGAGACCGCUUGGGAACACUGCAUGCCC
This 108-nucleotide ribosomal RNA is filed under the name Carlito syrichta (Philippine tarsier). Lineage: Eukaryota; Metazoa; Chordata; Mammalia; Primates; Tarsiidae. The record is from RNAcentral.